Molecule: ribosomal RNA, 574 nt
Filed under: uncultured bacterium
Lineage: Bacteria
Description: bacterial SSU rRNA
Rfam family: Bacterial small subunit ribosomal RNA
Source: RNAcentral
GAGUUUGAUCAUGGCUCAGAACGAACGCUGGCGGCGUGGAUAAGACAUGCAAGUCGAACGGGAUAUAUUUUGUAGCAAUACCGAGUAUGUCUAGUGGCGCAAGGGUGAGUAACACGUGGGUAAUCUGCCGAAAAGUUGGGGAUAGCUCGCCGAAAGGCGAAUUAAUACCGAAUGUGAUUUAGGGGGACAUCCCCUGAAGAUUAAAGCCGGGGCAACCUGGCGCUUUUUGAUGAACCCGCGGCCUAUCAGCUAGUUGGUGAGGUAACGGCUUACCAAGGCAAUGACGGGUAGCUGGUCUGAGAGGACGACCAGUCACACUGGAACUGAGACACGGUCCAGACACCUACGGGUGGCAGCAGUCGAGAAUUUUUCUCAAUGGGGGAAACCCUGAAGGAGCGACGCCGCGUGGAGGAUGAAGGUUUUCGGAUUGUAAACUCCUGUCAUCCGGGAGCAAUGCUUACGGUUUAACUGACUGUAAGUUGAUAGUACCGGAAGAGGAAGGGACGGCUAACUCUGUGCCAGCAGCCGCGGUAAUACAGAGGUCCCGAGCGUUGUUCGGAUUCAUUGGGCGUAA